RNAcentral lists this transfer RNA (81 nucleotides) under Bigelowiella natans. RNAcentral's name for it is "permuted tRNA-Ser(CGA)". It matches the Rfam family "tRNA". Rfam says of the family: Transfer RNA (tRNA) molecules are approximately 80 nucleotides in length. Their secondary structure includes four short double-helical elements and three loops (D, anti-codon, and T loops). Lineage: Eukaryota; Cercozoa; Chlorarachniophyceae. The record is from RNAcentral.
GCGUCUGUGUCCGAGUGGUUAAGGAGAUGGACUCGAAAUCCAUUGGUUUUUACCGCACAGGUUCGAAUCCUGUCAGGCGCG